GAUGUACCCACAGUGAAAGCCAGCUCAUGAAGCCUUGUUUCUAAAGGUAAAUAAUGACAAGAAGGCUUUAAGGAAAUAGGAUUUGCUAUGAGACUGUGAUUAACUGGAACAAAACAGUUGAAAACUGGUUUGUCGAUACAUAAUAGGAAACAAAGUGUUUAGACCUCCUAAUUUCUGAAUUGAAAUUUCCAUUUUGGUGAAUUUGUCCUCAGGAAAUAUUGACAGCAAAUGCAUAAAGAUGUGUGUAGUGGCAAUACUUUUAUUUUAAUAUUGAUUUUUUUUCAGCAAAAAUAAAACCUAAGUAGUUUUUUAAAUGGGAAACCACCAUAAUUACAAUUGUUAAAAAUCAAACACAAAUGGAGACCAGGCUUGGAAACUUCUUAAGCAGGAAAAAAAAAAAAAACCACUUUACUCAUACAAGCAAAACUUAAUUUAGCUUAUUUUGCAAGAUAAGUGAGACAAUCUGGGUCACUUCUUGUUAAUACCUCUGAAAAUCAGGGGGAAAAAAAACCCUCAGGUUGUUCCCCCAAGUUGAUAGAAGCUAACUAAGUCCUUACAGUCAAGAAAACACUAAUAAUAUUAUAACCAACCACUGUGAGAAAUACACAGCACUGCCUCCUUACUGCAUAAACUGCUUUAAAACAUGCCUCUGAGACUCGAUUCACGCUUAACUUGAGGGCUCCCAGUUCACCAGCUUCGGCUACCAUACAAACUGUGAACCAAAGGAACCAACAUGUCUACUUACCUUCGGCAUCUCUCUCGGUCCUGACGAAAGAGCAAAAAGGAGACAUAAAAGGAAGCAGGAAACCAUAACCAGGUUGAAAAUAAGACAUGGAAAAACUACACCCCAAGAAAGUGAAAAACAGGCUGAGGGAAAAAUAAAAACCAGGGGAAACACUCACCCAAGAGAGCAGAGGCGAGUGUGGUUCCCCCCGGAAGAACUCAGAGCAAACCGCGGGAGAAGCACCCAGGAUUAGCCUUAGGAUCAGGUGUGGGCCUUUGUGGGCCUUGGGCGGCCCAUGGGCAGUAACACAACCACCUCAAUGGCUGACACCUGGCUGCGUGGGUACUGCCUCUCCAGGUUCCUGGGGCCUGCGGAGAAAACCUUUAACUUUCUGAAUAAAACUUGAGAACCACUCGCCAAAACAAUGCUUUGUCUAUGUAGCCAGUGGGUUGUCAGGCCCAAGAGAAAGAGGGAAACUCUGGACUUUGUAUCAGAUGCUGGAAAAAAAAUAAAAUAAAAACAAAAAAUUUUCAAAAAAAACACAUGUAACAAAAUUUCAAAGGCAGCUUUACCUGGGAAUAAAUGCAAGUUUAAGUGUUCUCCUGGGAGAUUAAGAGCUUUUGUGUUGGCAUCUGUGGGGAUUAAGGCAGCCUGGCUCCCUCACUGUUCUACCCACACCCAGGCCCACUUCCUAAAAACCACCCCGUCAGUGCUUCCAUUAAAAUGAAUGGACUGUAAGUAAAGCCAGGCCACAGCAGCAAAGGAAAACCACACAAGCCAGACAGAUACUCAUCACCCUACUCCUCCAUGGUAACAAGCUGUAAGGG
Long non-coding RNA from Bos taurus (domestic cattle), 1551 nucleotides. Lineage: Eukaryota; Metazoa; Chordata; Mammalia; Artiodactyla; Bovidae. The record is from Ensembl.